UGGGGAAUCUUGCGCAAUGCACGAAAGUGUGACGCAGCAACGCCGCGUGAGUGAAGACGGCCUUCGGGUUGUAAAGCUCUUUCAGUUGGGACGAAGCAGUGCCGGUGAAUAGCCGGAUCCUGUGACGGUACCUUCAGAAGAAGCCCCGGCUAACUACGUGCCAGCAGCCGCGGUAAUACGUAGGGGGCAAGCGUUGUCCGGAAUCAUUGGGCGUAAAGCGCGUGUAGGCGGUUCGAUUAGUCUGCUGUGAAAGUCGGGGGCUCAACCCUCGAAUGCCGGUGGAUACUGUCGGGCUAGAGUGCGGAAGAGGCGAGUGGAAUUCCUGGUGUAGCGGUGAAAUGCGCAGAUAUCAGGAGGAACACCAAUUGCGAAGGCAGCUCGCUGGGACGUUACUGACGCUGAGACGCGAAAGCGUGGGGAGCAAACAG
Molecule: ribosomal RNA, 428 nt
Filed under: uncultured bacterium
Lineage: Bacteria
Description: bacterial SSU rRNA
Rfam family: Bacterial small subunit ribosomal RNA
Source: RNAcentral